UUAGGAAUUUUGGGCAAUGGGCGAAAGCCUGACCCAGCAACGCCGCGUGGGUGAUGAAGGCCCUCGGGUCGUAAAGCCCUUUUCCCAGGGAAGAUGAUGACGGUACCUGGGGAAUCAGCCCCGGCUAACUACGUGCCAGCAGCCGCGGUAAUACGUAGGGGGCGAGCGUUGUCCGGAUUUAUUGGGCGUAAAGCGCUCGCAGGUGGUCCGUCGCGUCGUGCGUGAAAGGCCCCGGCUCAACCGGGGAGGGUCGUGCGAUACGGGCGGACUGGAGGCCAGUAGGGGGAUGCGGAAUUCCGGGUGUAGUGGUGGAAUGCGUAGAGAUCCGGAGGAACACCAGCGGCGAAGGCGGCAUCCUGGACUGGUCCUGACACUCAGGAGCGAAAGCGUGGGGAGCGAUCCGG
Molecule: ribosomal RNA, 404 nt
Filed under: uncultured bacterium
Lineage: Bacteria
Description: bacterial SSU rRNA
Rfam family: Bacterial small subunit ribosomal RNA
Source: RNAcentral